UGACCCCAGGUCAGGCGGGACCACCCGCUGAGUUUAA
This 37-nucleotide ribosomal RNA is filed under the name Lophogyne fimbrifolia. RNAcentral's name for it is "partial 26S ribosomal RNA". Lineage: Eukaryota; Viridiplantae; Streptophyta; Magnoliopsida; Malpighiales; Podostemaceae. The record is from RNAcentral.